UACGUAGGGUGCGAGCGUUGUCCGGAAUUAUUGGGCGUAAAGAGCUCGUAGGCGGUUUGUCACGUCUGCUGUGAAAUCCCGAGGCUCAACCUCGGGCCUGCAGUGGGUACGGGCAGACUGGAGUGCGGUAGGGGAGAAUGGAAUUCCUGGUGUAGCGGUGGAAUGCGCAGAUAUCAGGAGGAACACCAAUAGCGAAGGCAGCUCGCUGGGACGUCACUGACGCUGAGGCGCGAAAGCGUGGGGAGCGAACAGG
This 253-nucleotide ribosomal RNA is filed under the name uncultured bacterium. RNAcentral's name for it is "partial 16S ribosomal RNA". It matches the Rfam family "Bacterial small subunit ribosomal RNA", at positions 524 to 776 of the family's 1533-position model. The record is from RNAcentral.